AGAGUUUGAUCCUGGCUCAGAACGAACGCUGGCGGCAUGCCUAAUACAUGCAAGUCGAACGCGCCUAGCAAUAGGCGAGUGGCGGACGGGUGAGUAACGCGUGGGAACCUGCCCUUGAGUGCGGGAUAACCGAGGGAAACUUCGGCUAAUACCGCAUGCUCCCCCUCACGGGGGGAAAGAUUUAUCGCUCGAGGAGGGGCCCGCGUCGGAUUAGCUAGUUGGUGGGGUAACGGCCUACCAAGGCGAUGAUCCGUAGCUGGUCUGAGAGGAUGAUCAGCCACACUGGGACUGAGACACGGCCCAGACUCCUACGGGAGGCAGCAGUAGGGAAUAUUGGACAAUGGGGGCAACCCUGAUCCAGCAAUGCCGCGUGAGUGAUGAAGGCCUUAGGGUUGUAAAGCUCUUUCGCACGCGACGAUGAUGACGGUAGCGUGAGAAGAAGCCCCGGCUAACUUCGUGCCAGCAGCCGCGGUAAUACGAAGGGGGCGAGCGUUGUUCGGAAUUACUGGGCGUAAAGGGCGCGCAGGCGGCCUAUCAAGUCAGGCGUGAAAGCCCCGGGCUUAACCUGGGAAUUGCGCUUGGGACUGAUGGGCUAGAGUUCGGGAGAGGAGAGUGGAAUUCCCAGUGUAGAGGUGAAAUUCGUAGAUAUUGGGAAGAACACCGGUGGCGAAGGCGGCUCUCUGGACCGAUACUGACGCUGAGGCGCGAAAGCGUGGGGAGCAAACAGGAUUAGAUACCCCUGUAGUCC
RNAcentral lists this ribosomal RNA (748 nucleotides) under uncultured bacterium. Its description in RNAcentral is "bacterial SSU rRNA". It matches the Rfam family "Bacterial small subunit ribosomal RNA", at positions 8 to 796 of the family's 1533-position model. The record is from RNAcentral.